RNAcentral lists this ribosomal RNA (523 nucleotides) under Boophis guibei. Its description in RNAcentral is "partial 12S ribosomal RNA". The stretch from base 1 to 449 matches the Rfam family "Bacterial small subunit ribosomal RNA", at positions 892 to 1533 of the family's 1533-position model. The record is from RNAcentral. Lineage: Eukaryota; Metazoa; Chordata; Amphibia; Anura; Mantellidae.
GCUUAAAAUCCAAAGGACUUGACGGUGUCCCACCCACCUAGAGGAGCCUGUUCUUUAAUCGAUACCCCCCGCUUCACCUCACCAUUUUUUGCUUUUUCAGCCUGUAUACCUCCGUCGUAAACUUGCCCUGUGAAUGAAACAUAGCAAGUAUAAUGACCCCUCGUCAAUACGUCAGGUCAAGGUGCAGCCUAUGAAAUGGAAAGCAAUGGGCUACAAUUUCUAAUCUAGAACACACGAAUUACCACUUGAAAAUGUGGUCAUGAAGGUGGAUUUAGUAGUAAAGGGGAACAAUAGAGUCCCCUUAAACAAGGCCCUGGGACGUGUACAAACCGCCCGUCACCCUCUUCAAUAGCACAAAAAUGGAUACUUAACAAUUUAACCUGCGCCUUAGAAGAGGUAAGUCGUAACAUGGUAAGUGUACUGGAAAGUGCACUUGGAUCAACAAAGUGUAGCUUAACUAAAGCCCCUCGCUUACACCGAGAGAAUAUCUGUUAAACUCGGAUCAUUUUGAGCUGUAAAUCUA